CCCUAGCCCUGAUGGAAGCGGCAUCCUUUGCUGCCGGGGUUCGGCAGUAAAGAUAUAGCGUACAGCAGGAAAUAGC
Non-coding RNA from Flavobacterium sp. LM5, 76 nucleotides. The record is from Rfam. Lineage: Bacteria; Pseudomonadati; Bacteroidota; Flavobacteriia; Flavobacteriales; Flavobacteriaceae.